This 465-nucleotide ribosomal RNA is filed under the name uncultured bacterium. RNAcentral describes it as "bacterial SSU rRNA". It matches the Rfam family "Bacterial small subunit ribosomal RNA", at positions 37 to 518 of the family's 1533-position model. The record is from RNAcentral.
UGGCGGCGUGCCUAACACAUGCAAGUCGAGCGAGGAGAUCCUUCGGGAUGAUCCUAGCGGCGGACGGGUGAGUAACACGUGGGCAACCUGCCUCAUAGAGAGGAAUAGCCUUCCGAAAGGGAGAUUAAUACCUCAUAACAUUGCAGUUUCGCAUGAAACAGCAAUUAAAGGAGCAAUCCGCUAUGAGAUGGGCCCGCGGCGCAUUAGCUAGUUGGUGAGGUAACGGCUCACCAAGGCGACGAUGCGUAGCCGACCUGAGAGGGUGAUCGGCCACAUUGGGACUGAGACACGGCCCAGACUCCUACGGGAGGCAGCAGGUGGGGAAUAUUGCACAAUGGGGGAAACCCUGAUGCAAGCAACGCCGCGUGAGUGAUGACGGCCUUCGGGUUGUAAAGCUCUGUCUUCAGGGACGAUAAUGACGGUACCUGAGGAGGAAGCCACGGCUAACUACGUGCCAGCCGCAGC